This is a long non-coding RNA of Amphiprion ocellaris (clown anemonefish), 3099 nucleotides long. The record is from Ensembl. NCBI's taxonomy places the organism in Eukaryota, Metazoa, Chordata, Actinopteri, Pomacentridae.
AGAAGACAGCGCGCUAGCGUAUCUAGUCUAUGUAUAUCUAUGGUCGGCACGUCUGGUAGCAUCUCUGGCUGCUGUUGACCUUGUUUUUGGAGUAAAACACGGUGGAAGCUGAAUUAGUGAGGAUGACUCCUGCUCCUGUCAUCUCUAAGCUCCUCACACAUCUUUACCUGCACAUGAGGAAAAUCACUCCUGUAGAAUGCAGAUGUUCAGAGGGAGAUGAUGCCACAUCUGGUCCAGCUGAUGGAAGGUCUUGAAGUUCUCUGACUGGCCUCGACUGAAGAUGGUCGUCUCACUGGAUUUAAGGUUCAGAUGCUCAGUAACAAACUCCACCAAUGAGCCAACAGGGAAGCUUGAGGUUUAUUAAAUGUUGCUAUGAAGGUAUCGCUGUUUUUCUUAGUGAAUGCAAUGUGCUCCAACUGAAACUUGAAUUAGAACUUAGAAGUAAAUCCUUCCAUCUGACAGGAUUUAGUUGCAUUAAUAACCUCAUAACAUUCUAAUUUUUAUUCCAGUCUUGGUUGAAAAUAGAAUCUCUGUAUUGAUUCAGGUAAAAACUGAACUUCACAGCAUGUUGGAGCAAAACAACCAGAUGAAAACUGUGAUGGUGUUGGAUUGUCAGACCGUAAUGUUGCAGCUCAAAGCAGCUUUUCUAUCUCAGUUCAUUCUGACAUUCAGCUAUGAAUCAACACAGCAGAUGGUGAUCCAUGCUGUGGAAGUCUCACAUCUCCUGAUUUAAUGGAGCUGCUUUGCACUUUUUACACUGUUUAUUCACCAACACUUUAUUUAAUAAAAGUCCCAUCUAGUUUUUAUGAGGAAUGUGAUGUUUUAAUUUCUCUGUGAAUAACUGCAGUCUAAUGCAACAGCUGGAGUUGUAACAUCUGUCCUGAUAUUGAUCAUGAAGUAUUGAUCAGAAUACUUAUGAUUAGCAGUCAUCCCUGAAGUUUUACAUUAAAAUCUUUACUUGUGUUGUGAACUUUGGUAAGAAGCAGAAACUUUAGCGUUGCCAUGGAUACAUGAGUGUUAAAUUCUGUCCAUGUUUCCAUUUUGGGAAAUUCAGUCCAGUUCCAGAAUGUGGAGGAAUUUAGUCUCAAUCACAGUCAACAAAUAUUAUCUGAAAGUCGGGUUAUUGUUGUUUAUCAGCACAAUAGAAAAAAGAUUAAUGUUAGAAAUAUUCCAGUUAAGACUCUAGAAUAUCAUGAUUUAUGUAAAUUUACCUCAAUAAUAUGAAUGUUCAGUUUGAUUGUGCAGUGAUUUUUAUUCUGUAAGUUCAGCUGAUUAAAGUUUGACUCUGCACUACAAUAUUAUUUAUUAUUUAAAUUUACAUCAUUAUUAUAAUAUUUAGGGUCAGACCCUACAGUAUUGAGAUUAAGAAAUCAAAUAUUCUAUAAAAUGUAAAUAUACUGAACUCAUUUGGAUAUAUUUAAGUGAGACUCUACAAUAUUAUUUGACACAAAUGUAUCUAAAUCAAAAUUUUAAUAAUUUUCAUGCCAAACAUUUACUGGACUGAUUUAAAUAUUAAAAUCACUCCUUUCUAAUCCUCUGCUGUACGUUCAAACCUGAGGCCUUAAAUAGAAACACACAAGUAUCUGAUUGAAGGAACUUCUGCAGAGUCCUGGUUCCAGAACAUGAUGAUAGAAUUAUAGACAAACUUUAACAAAAGCUGCCUGAGAGUUUACAGGUUUUUAUGUUGGAUUUCUUCAGUAAUUUAAUGAGAUUUAUCAGCAAAAAUCAAGUGUUCAUUUGAUGAACUUCAUUUCCUAAAACAUCCAGAAUUGGAGCUCAUAUCUUUGGCAGUUGUAAAGUUUCUGCUCCUUCAAAGUUCACAACACAAUAAAUGAAUUCCUAAAACACUCUCAAUGCUGGAGAGUGUUUGAUGCUGAAGCAGUGAUCAGUUUUUCUGUUUCUUCUCUGGAGAUGCACAAUGAGGGACGUCUGCAGUGACUGAGAAAGAGUCUCACCACAUCCUGACAUGAGGAAAAAGACUUUAUUGAAGACUACAAUGAGAAAAACUAUCAGACAGCAGACGGCUGCAUUCAAGUCUGUAGCUGCUGAAUUCAUGGAUGAAUCAUCUGGCACUAGAGAGGAAGACCAUCAAAUAUCCACGUCAGCUGAUGGAGGUCCAAGAGUCUCACCCAACAACCAACCUACAGAGUGAAGACCUUGAAUCUGAUUGGACGGCCUCCUAUUCAGCCACAUGUGUGAACAAAUGCCUCUAAGCUGAUUUGUUUUCUAAAAUAAAUCUAGUUUGAGUCCUAAUCUAUGCCUGUGUGUUUGCUUCUGUACACCGCUGUUAACAGUUUAGGCUGUUAGAUUGUUCCAGAUAAGACAAGUACAAGAUUCUUCAGAGCCGUUCUACCACGAGCCUGACAGGAAGAACUCUAACAGCUACUGAAUGUUCCUGUGGUUCCCUCAAGGCUACAGGAGGAGUCCUACGAGGACGAGCCGGUCCACCUGAUGGAGGCCAGUCGCUGCAGUUCAAAGCCAACACCGACUAUGUGGACUUCUACUGGACCACACGGAGGCCUUCAAACCGGACCAACAAGUUCAGCGACUCCCCGACUCGUGGGUCUGAGGACGCCGCCAAGCCUCGGUCCAGCCGGCCUCCUGUCUGGGUGUUUGAGUGCUGAGAGACUUGACCGUGAAUACCAUUGACACCCACCUGAGGGAGACGCUGUCUAAGAUCUCAAGGCUGCUUGGUCGUGGUCUUUCUGGUCCUGCUCCAGAACGCCUUCAUCAACUACGUCUUCUAUUAAAGAGGCCCUCAGAUGCUGCAAUCUCUGACCUUAAGGAGGAACUGCUACUUUCACUCUGUAACGAGACGGUGAUUAUUUUAAAGACCCAGCUCCUGGCGGCUUUGAGUGAAAAUUUAACAUCCAUCAAAACGGAACUACAGACAGUUAAAUCUGAGCUGUCAGUCAGUAUUUCAAACAUCAAGUCCGACCCGGCUGCCCUAAAGCACGCUGUGGGUGAAACGGAAACUUCACUCUCCACAUCACCGACGACAUCGUCACACUCCAAAGCAGAGCACCUGUCUGCUGAACUUUUAAAAGUGGACUAUAAAUGUGAACAAUGUGAGCAGCAGCAGACUGUGAGCAGCAGAAC